RNAcentral lists this ribosomal RNA (2909 nucleotides) under Brenneria bubanii. Its description in RNAcentral is "23S ribosomal RNA". It matches the Rfam family "Bacterial large subunit ribosomal RNA". The record is from RNAcentral. Lineage: Bacteria; Pseudomonadati; Pseudomonadota; Gammaproteobacteria; Enterobacterales; Pectobacteriaceae.
GGUUAAGCGACUAAGCGUACACGGUGGAUGCCUAGGCAGUCAGAGGCGAUGAAGGGCGUGCUAAUCUGCGAAAAGCGUCGGCAAGGUGAUAUGAACCGUUAUAUCCGACGAUACCCGAAUGGGGAAACCCAGUGUGUUUCGACACAUUAUCAUCACAUGAAUACAUAGUGUGAUGAGGCGAACCGGGGGAACUGAAACAUCUCAGUACCCCGAGGAAAAGAAAUCAACCGAGAUUCCCCCAGUAGCGGCGAGCGAACGGGGAACAGCCCAGAACCUGAAUCAGUUUGUGUGUUAGUGGAAGCGUCUGGAAAGUCGCACGACAAAGGGUGAUAGUCCCGUACACAAAAAUGCACAGACUGUGAGUUCGAUGAGUAGGGCGGGACACGUGUUAUCCUGUCUGAAGAUGGGGGGACCAUCCUCCAAGGCUAAAUACUCCUGACUGACCGAUAGUGAACCAGUACCGUGAGGGAAAGGCGAAAAGAACCCCGGCGAGGGGAGUGAAAUAGAACCUGAAACCGUGUACGUACAAGCAGUGGGAGCCUUGAUUUAUCAGGGUGACUGCGUACCUUUUGUAUAAUGGGUCAGCGACUUAUAUUCUGUAGCAAGGUUAACCGUAUAGGGGAGCCGCAGGGAAACCGAGUCUUAACUGGGCGUUAAGUUGCAGGGUAUAGACCCGAAACCCGGUGAUCUAGCCAUGGGCAGGUUGAAGGUUGGGUAACACUAACUGGAGGACCGAACCGACUAAUGUUGAAAAAUUAGCGGAUGACUUGUGGCUGGGGGUGAAAGGCCAAUCAAACCGGGAGAUAGCUGGUUCUCCCCGAAAGCUAUUUAGGUAGCGCCUCGUGAAUUCAUCUUCGGGGGUAGAGCACUGUUUCGACUAGGGGGUCAUCCCGACUUACCAACUCGAUGCAAACUGCGAAUACCGAAGAAUGUUAUCACGGGAGACACACGGCGGGUGCUAACGUCCGUCGUGAAGAGGGAAACAACCCAGACCGCCAGCUAAGGUCCCAAAGUCAUGGUUAAGUGGGAAACGAUGUGGGAAGGCCCAGACAGCCAGGAUGUUGGCUUAGAAGCAGCCAUCAUUUAAAGAAAGCGUAAUAGCUCACUGGUCGAGUCGGCCUGCGCGGAAGAUGUAACGGGGCUAAACCAUGCACCGAAGCUGCGGCAGCGACACUUAGGCGUUGUUGGGUAGGGGAGCGUUCUGUAAGCCUGCGAAGGUGACCUGUGAGGGUUGCUGGAGGUAUCAGAAGUGCGAAUGCUGACAUAAGUAACGAUAAUGCGGGUGAAAAACCCGCACGCCGGAAGACCAAGGGUUCCUGUCCAACGUUAAUCGGGGCAGGGUGAGUCGACCCCUAAGGCGAGGCCGAAAGGCGUAGUCGAUGGGAAACAGGUUAAUAUUCCUGUACUGGUUGUUACUGCGAAGGGGGGACGGAGAAAGCUAGGUUGGCCGGGCGACGGUUGUCCCGGUUUAAGCGUGUAGGUGGGUGUUUUUGGUAAAUCCGGAACACUGUUAACACCGAGGCGUGAUGACGAGUCACUACGGUGAUGAAGUAACCGAUGCUACGCUUCCAGGAAAAGCCUCUAAGCUCCAGGUAACAGUCAAUCGUACCCCAAACCGACACAGGUGGUCAGGUAGAGAAUACUCAGGCGCUUGAGAGAACUCGGGUGAAGGAACUAGGCAAAAUGGUGCCGUAACUUCGGGAGAAGGCACGCUGGAUUCGGUGAAGGGACUUGCUCCCGGAGCUGAGACCAGUCGCAGAUACCAGCUGGCUGCAACUGUUUAAUAAAAACACAGCACUGUGCAAACACGAAAGUGGACGUAUACGGUGUGACGCCUGCCCGGUGCCGGAAGGUUAAUUGAUGGGGUCAGCCGCAAGGCGAAGCUCUUGAUCGAAGCCCCGGUAAACGGCGGCCGUAACUAUAACGGUCCUAAGGUAGCGAAAUUCCUUGUCGGGUAAGUUCCGACCUGCACGAAUGGCGUAAUGAUGGCCAGGCUGUCUCCACCCGAGACUCAGUGAAAUUGAACUCGCUGUGAAGAUGCAGUGUACCCGCGGCAAGACGGAAAGACCCCGUGAACCUUUACUAUAGCUUGACACUGAACCUUGAGCCUUGAUGUGUAGGAUAGGUGGGAGGCUUUGAAGCGUGGACGCCAGUCUGCGUGGAGCCAACCUUGAAAUACCACCCUUUAAUGUUUGAUGUUCUAACGUGGGCCCCUAAUCGGGGUUGCGGACAGUGUCUGGUGGGUAGUUUGACUGGGGCGGUCUCCUCCCAAAGAGUAACGGAGGAGCACGAAGGUUAGCUAAUCCUGGUCGGACAUCAGGAGGUUAGUGCAAAGGCAUAAGCUAGCUUGACUGCGAGAGUGACGGCUCGAGCAGGUGCGAAAGCAGGUCUUAGUGAUCCGGUGGUUCUGAAUGGAAGGGCCAUCGCUCAACGGAUAAAAGGUACUCCGGGGAUAACAGGCUGAUACCGCCCAAGAGUUCAUAUCGACGGCGGUGUUUGGCACCUCGAUGUCGGCUCAUCACAUCCUGGGGCUGAAGUAGGUCCCAAGGGUAUGGCUGUUCGCCAUUUAAAGUGGUACGCGAGCUGGGUUUAGAACGUCGUGAGACAGUUCGGUCCCUAUCUGCCGUGGGCGUUGGAAGAUUGAGAGGGGUUGCUCCUAGUACGAGAGGACCGGAGUGAACGCACCACUGGUGUACGGGUUGUGAUGCCAAUUGCAUUGCCCGGUAGCUAAGUGCGGAAGAGAUAACCGCUGAAAGCAUCUAAGCGGGAAACUUGCCUCGAGAUGAGUCUUCCCUGGGACCUUGAGUCCCCUGAAGGGCCGUUGAAGACGACGACGUAGAUAGGCUGGGUGUGUAAGCGUAGCGAUACGUUGAGCUAACCAGUACUAAUGACCCGAGAGGCUUAACCUU